RNAcentral lists this non-coding RNA (27 nucleotides) under Mus musculus (house mouse). The record is from RNAcentral. Lineage: Eukaryota; Metazoa; Chordata; Mammalia; Rodentia; Muridae.
UCUAAGAAGGAAAAGUCUGGUUACCAU